This is a long non-coding RNA of Gadus macrocephalus (Pacific cod), 996 nucleotides long. RefSeq lists it as uncharacterized. The record is from RefSeq and is a predicted model, not a curated record. NCBI's taxonomy places the organism in Eukaryota, Metazoa, Chordata, Actinopteri, Gadiformes, Gadidae. The transcript is spliced from 8 exons.
CUAACAGAUUAAAUGGAGUGGUAGGAACCAGGAAGGAGCAGGGACAACCGUCGGUGAAGAGGUGGAACAAGUGAACAGCUACCUCUCUCGUUGUGCCCUUACGACAAAAUAUAUGUCGAAAGCAGCCCGGUUGGACAUGCUCACAUUGCAUGCAAUGUUGUGGAACCACAGGAAAUGGGAUUCCUUACAUCAGGCACUUUCCACAAGAUACGAGAAGACUUGUCUGAGGCUCCUGGAUGAGACUGCAAAGCUAGCAGAGCUACAUUGUUCAGAUGAAAUGGUGUCACAGUGGAUUUCAGAUGUGAAGGAAUGGGCAGCUGGUGAGACAUGAGAUACAUCUGACAACCUGCAAGGCACCACACACACAGGGCUUCAGCGGUCCAUUGAGGGGCUCUACCUCAGUGUGAGGCAGCGGAAGCAGAACCUGUACUGUCAGAAUGACAGCAACAAGCUUUGCCACCGGCUUCGGAGGAAGCUGGCAGAAGACAAAAAGCUCCUUCUUCAGGAGAUACAAAAGCACAACAAGCUUGACUCUGCAGCAAACAUCGAUGCAGCUGUGGUGGAGCACUCCCUGAGUGGAGCACUGUGUCCCCAAUAAGGCCUUGGGAGGUUCAUGAAAGUGCAAACAUUGGAAAAAAGAAACUGCUUCAUGACCAAGUGAUGACAACAAAGCGACUGCAGGGGAAAAAAAAAAUGAUGGUGAUGGAGAUGGCACAACACUGCACAUGGUUGCAGAACAUGGCAUUGAUUCUCAAAAACAAGGUGGCUGAGGAGGGUGGAGAGUCUGGAGACAAAGGAAAUGAAGGACUUUGCAGUCUCUUGAGGAGAAGAAACUCAGAGGUUGAAAGUGGUCCUCCAACAAUACAAGACUGCUUCAGGUCCUGAGGCUUCUGUUAUUCUAAAUAUUGAAGAGGAAGAUCAAAGUGUCCACAGCAGUCCAGACACCAGUGAGGAUGAAGAGGAAAACAUAACUUAGAUUGAAGCUGCACUGAGGAU